UAAUAGGAUCUGAUGCCCUCUUCUGGUGUGUCUGAAAACAGCUACAGUGUACAUAAAUAGGUUUUUUCUUCUUCCUUUUUUUAAUAAAAAACUAAUGGCAGGCUAGCCAAGUAACUGCUACCUAGGCCUUAACAGGAACACUGGCUGCUUUUGCAAAGGACCCAGGUUCAGUCCUCAGCACCCACAUCGCAUGGCAGUUAACUGUUAACUCCAAUUCCAGAUAUGGCGCCGCCUUCUGUUCUCAGUGAGCACUGCAUGCAUGUAGUACACAGACAUGAGACAUGCCAGCAAAGCUCUCAUGCAUAAAUAAAAAUCUUUUUUUUUUUAAACAAAGCAUAACCAGGAAUUUUUAAAGCAGAAGAGAAUUGCUAGGGCAGUUUGAACAUAGGUAGAUAUUAGAGAAAUAGGAUAAUGAAUUUUUUUAAAAGGUUAUCAGAGAAAAUGAGGGUAAAGGUAAGCAGCACCAGUAUGAAGAGCUGCAUGGAGUAAGAUGCAGGGCCGGGAAACUGGCUUUUAAAGACUGAUCCCAGGCCUGGGCAGUGGUGGCACACACCUUUAAUCCCGGUACUCAGGAGGCAAAGUAGGCAGGUAGAUCUCUGGGUUUGAGGCCAGCCUGGUCUAUAGAACAAGUUCCAGGACAUCAAGGACUACAUAGAAAAACCCUGUUGGGGGUGGGGAGGGGGAAAACAAAAGCCUGAUCCUAAAACAUAAACACCUUGUACAGAGAGGUGGGAUAGCUUAUGUUACUAAGGGAAACUCUUGACUUGGUGCCAGGAUAGGUCAUGGGAAGGGAAGCCUUUUAGACCAGUGGUUCCUAAAGCUGCAACCCUUUAACACAGUUCCAGGUGGGCAUCUCUGCAGACCCGCCUGGAGACGAUAGAGGAAUGGUGUAUCAGUUCCUACAGACCUUUGAGCCCCAUGGGCUGAAAGCCCGUUUUAGAGCAUCUGGGUCUCUGGCAGUGGGGUCUAUGUGAUCCUCUCAGCACAUCUCAGGUCUCCAUCUCCAAGCGUCUAUAAGAUACUUGACCAAUUGAUGUGCAUGCUGAUGCAUCGUUUUCAUUAAAGUUUCUUGGGCUUGAGCUACAGUUCAGUGGUAGAGUACUUGCCUGGCAAGCACAAGACUCCAAGGAGAACAUGAUGGUGCUCACCUGUAAGCCAGCAACCUUGCCACCAAGCCUGACAGUCCAAGUGCAUCUAAGUUCCUGGGACACACAUGGUAUAAGAAAAUACCAUAAUAAUAAAUAAUAAAUGUAAUUUAUAAAUUUAACUUUUUUAAAAACCAGGCAUCAGGAUAUGGGUCUGGUAGUGUACCCCUUUAAUCGCAGCACUCAGGCAAAGUGCAGAGGCCAGCCUGGUCUACAUUGUUGAGUUCCAGGCCAGCCAAGGCUACAUAGUGAUUCUCAAUCUUUCUAAUACUGUGACUCUUUAAUACAGUUCUAAAUACACGUAUGUGGGUGUGUCUGCCUGUGGCAGCCCACCUGAAGAGGAUAGAGGAGUCCUGUCUCAGUUCUUAAACCUAGCUUCAUCUUCGAUAGUUGUCUUUGGAAACCUCUUUGAAAAGAUCAUUGGACCAACUGCAAUGGCAUCCUGACCCCCACAGGUUGAGAACCACUAGGGCCUUGCCACACCACCUCCAGUAGGAUCUGUGUGACAAAUUCCACAGACUGAGGCGAUUGACCUCCUGGAAUUGGCUGUGGAACUCUUUAAUGGAGAAAAUAUAUUGAGCCGUAGUUCUCAUGGCAGUCUAUCUGUUUUGUUUUCUCUUAUUCUUUUCUUAUUUACACAUUCCUGGUAGCCUAAGAUGGGGGUCACUAACAUGACCUUAUCCCCAGGGAAACCAACACUUUACUUUCUAAAUCAUUUACAAAACUUGUAUGAUAAAAACUUUCCCAACAAUAAAAUUUCAUAUGGCUACUUGUGUGUCAUCAGAGGUGGAUUUUGGUAUAUGGUAAAGAAAGCCUUAAUUAGAAAGAUUUAAAAUAGUUUAAAUUUAUACAUUGAAGAUUAUAAAAAAUCAGGCACUAGAUGUUAAAUAAUAAUUGACCAUGGGGCUGGAAAGUUAGUUCAGUGGUUAAGAGCACUGACCAUUAAAGAUUUAUUAACCUGCUCCUGGAAAUAUGUCACUAGCCUUGGACGACAGCCCCCACUGUAUACAUCCUUUUAGAAUUGUUAUAUUUUGAUGAUUUACAUUAAUAAUGAUGUUAUCUGUUCUGUUGUGAUCCACUGAACACAUAGUUUCAGAGUUGUAAUGCUUGGAUGAUUUUUUGUGCUUUACUGUGCCAAAUGAUUUUUGUUGGUUUCUGUGAUUGUUUCACUGGAUAUAUACUUUCUAAGAGAUAUAAUGUUUGUUUUUUUAAUGUAUAAAAUCCCCUGCUUGAGAGCUGCAGAAUACACUCAGAUUCAAACUGC
This 2409-nucleotide long non-coding RNA is filed under the name Mus musculus (house mouse). Its description in RNAcentral is "long non-coding RNA chr5:129720148-129722557". Lineage: Eukaryota; Metazoa; Chordata; Mammalia; Rodentia; Muridae. The record is from RNAcentral.